This 679-nucleotide ribosomal RNA is filed under the name Goniomonas pacifica. RNAcentral describes it as "partial Bacterial large subunit ribosomal RNA". It matches the Rfam family "Bacterial large subunit ribosomal RNA", at positions 441 to 1120 of the family's 2925-position model. The record is from RNAcentral. Lineage: Eukaryota; Cryptophyceae; Goniomonadida; Goniomonadaceae.
AACCAGCCGGCACCAUCCGGUAAGGCUAAAUACUCCUGAGAGACCGAUAGUGAACCAGUACCGUGAGGGAAAGGUGAAAAGUACCCCGGAAGGGGAGUGAAAGAGAACUUGAAACCGUGUGCUUACAAGUAGUCAGAGCCCGUUAAUGGGUGAUGGCGUGCCUUUUGUAGAAUGAACCGGCGAGUUACGAUCUGAUGCAAGGUUAAGCAGAAAAUGUGGAGCCGUAGCGAAAGCGAGUCUGAAUAGGGCGAUUGAGUCGCGUGUCCUAGACCCGAAGCGGAGUGAUCUACCCAUGGCCAGGUUGAAGCGCGUGUAAGAGCGCGUGGAGGACCGAACCCACUUCAGUUGAAAAUGGAGGGGAUGAGCUGUGGGUAGGGGUGAAAGGCCAAUCAAGCUCGGAAAUAGCUCGUACUCCCCGAAAUGCAUUUAGGUGCAGCGUUCUGAUAGUUAUAUAGAGGUAGAGCUACUGAUUGGAUGCGGGGGCUUCACCGCCUACCAAUUCCUGACAAACUCCGAAUGCUAUAUAAUGUUUCAGGGCAGUGAGGGCAUGGGUGCUAAGGUCCAUGUCCGAGAGGGAAAGAACCCGGACCAUCAGCUAAGGUCCCCAAAUAUGUGCUAAGUUGACAAAACGCGGUGGGACUGCACAGACAGCCAGGAUGUUGGCUUGGAAGCAGCCAUU